UACGAAGGGUGCAAGCGUUACUCGGAAUUAUUGGGCGUAAAGAGCUCGUAGGCGGUUUGUCGCGUCUGCUGUGAAAACCUAAGGCUCAACCUUGGGCUUGCAGUGGGUACGGGCAGACUAGAGUGCGGUAGGGGUGACUGGAAUUCCUGGUGUAGCGGUGGAAUGCGCAGAUAUCAGGAGGAACACCGGUGGCGAAGGCGGUGGUCUGGGCCGGCACUGACGCUGAGGAGCGAAAGCGUGGGGAGCGAACAGG
This 253-nucleotide ribosomal RNA is filed under the name uncultured bacterium. RNAcentral describes it as "partial 16S ribosomal RNA". It matches the Rfam family "Bacterial small subunit ribosomal RNA", at positions 524 to 776 of the family's 1533-position model. The record is from RNAcentral.